RNAcentral lists this ribosomal RNA (484 nucleotides) under Hoplisoma flaveolum. RNAcentral's name for it is "Corydoras flaveolus partial 16S ribosomal RNA". It matches the Rfam family "Bacterial large subunit ribosomal RNA", at positions 1850 to 2543 of the family's 2925-position model. Lineage: Eukaryota; Metazoa; Chordata; Actinopteri; Siluriformes; Callichthyidae. The record is from RNAcentral.
AGGUCCUACCUGCCCAGUGACUAUGUUAAACGGCCGCGGUAUUUUGACCGUGCAAAGGUAGCGCAAUCACUUGUCUUUUAAAUGAAGACCUGUAUGAAUGGUGAAACGAGGGCUUAACUGUCUCCCUUUUCAAGUCAAUGAAAUUGAUCUAUCCGUGCAGAAGCGGGUAUACAAAUACAAGACGAGAAGACCCUUUGGAGCUUAAGACUAAAAAUCAACUAUGUCAAAUAUCUAUUAAAUAAAACUAAAUAGUAACUGAUUAUAAUCUUCGGUUGGGGCGACCACGGAAUAAAAGCAAACUUCCACAUGGACUGAGGACUAGCCUUAAAACUAAGAAAGACAUUUCUAAGUCACAGAAUUUCUGACCAAAAAGAUCCGGCAAAUUGCCGAUCAGUGGACCAAGUUACCCAAGGGAUAACAGCGCAAUCCCCUUUUAGAGUUCUUAUCGACAAGGGGGUUUACGACCUCGAUGUUGGAUCAGGAC